This 483-nucleotide ribosomal RNA is filed under the name uncultured bacterium. RNAcentral's name for it is "SSU rRNA". It matches the Rfam family "Bacterial small subunit ribosomal RNA", at positions 26 to 518 of the family's 1533-position model. The record is from RNAcentral.
AGGAUGAACGCUAGCGGCAGGCCUAAUACAUGCAAGUCGAACGGUGGUAGCAAUACCAUAGUGGCGCACGGGUGCGUAACACGUAACUAACCUACCUAUAACUGGGGGAUAGCCCGCCGAAAGGCGGAUUAAUACCGCAUAAGCUGCUUGGGUGGCAUCACUCGAACAGUAAAGAUUUAUUGGUUAUAGAUGGGGUUGCGGGUCAUUAGCUAGUUGGUAGGGUAACGGCUUACCAAGGCGACGAUGACUAGGGGAGCUGAGAGGCUGGUCCCCCACACGGGCACUGAGAUACGGGCCCGACUCCUACGGGAGGCAGCAGUAGGGAAUAUUGGGCAAUGGGCGAGAGCCUGACCCAGCCAUGCCGCGUGCAGGAUGAAGGCUUUCUGAGUCGUAAACUGCUUUUGACAGGGAAGAAUAAGUACUACGUGUAGUAUGAUGACGGUACCUGCAGAAUAAGCACCGGCUAACUCGUGCCAGCACCGC